RNAcentral lists this transfer RNA (68 nucleotides) under Heterocerus parallelus. RNAcentral's name for it is "tRNA-Met". It matches the Rfam family "tRNA". From Rfam's summary of the family: Transfer RNA (tRNA) molecules are approximately 80 nucleotides in length. Their secondary structure includes four short double-helical elements and three loops (D, anti-codon, and T loops). The record is from RNAcentral. Lineage: Eukaryota; Metazoa; Arthropoda; Insecta; Coleoptera; Heteroceridae.
GAAAAGAUCAGCUAAGUAAGCUUUUGGGUUCAUACCUCAACAAUAAAGGUAAAAUCCUUUUCUUUUCA